UUAGGUAGUUGGAGAGGUAACGGCUCCCCAAGCCGACGAUCGGUAGCCGGCCUGAGAGGGUGACCGGCCACACUGGGACUGAGACACGGCCCAGACUCCUACGGGAGGCAGCAGUGGGGAAUAUUGCGCAAUGGGCGAAAGCCUGACGCAGCGACGCCGCGUGAGCGACGAAGGCCUUCGGGUCGUAAAGCUCUGUUCUUGGGGACGAAUAAAGUGACGGUACCCAAGGAGCAAGCCCCGGCUAACUACGUGCCAGCAGCCGCGGUAACACGUAGGGGGCAAGCGUUGUCCGGAAUUACUGGGCGUAAAGGGCGUGUAGGCGGUCAUGUAUGUCAGGUGUGAAACUCCUCGGCUCACCCGAGGGACUGCACAUGAAACUGCAUGGCUUGAGUGCAGGAGAGGGGAGUGGAAUUCCUAGUGUAGCGGUGAAAUGCGUAGAUAUUAGGAGGAACACCAGUGGCGAAGGCGACUCCCUGGACUGUAACUGACGCUGAGGCGCGAAAGCGUGGGUAGCAAACAGGAUUAGAUACCCUGGUAGUCCACGCCAUAAACGAUGGGUACUAGGUGUGGGUAGUUCACUCUAUCUGUGCCGCAGCAAAC
This 600-nucleotide ribosomal RNA is filed under the name uncultured bacterium. RNAcentral describes it as "bacterial SSU rRNA". It matches the Rfam family "Bacterial small subunit ribosomal RNA", at positions 241 to 856 of the family's 1533-position model. The record is from RNAcentral.